GAAAUGCGAUAAGAAGUGUGAAUUGCAGAAUUCAGUGAAUCAUCGAAUCUUUGAACGCACAUUGCGCCCCUUGGUAUUCCAUGGGGCAUGCCUGUUCGAGCGUCAUUUGUACCCUCAAGCUCUGCUUGGUGUUGGGUGUUUGUCCCCGUCUCCGCGCGUGGACUCGCCCCAAAGUGAUUGGCAGCCGGCGUACUGGUCCCGGAGCGCAGCACAUGUCGCGCAAACGAGUGCCUUGGUACGGCGGCGUCCAUAAGCCCCUCUCUCACGCUCUUGACCUCGGAUCAGGUAGGGAUAUCCGCUGAACUUAAGC
RNAcentral lists this unclassified non-coding RNA (310 nucleotides) under plant metagenome. RNAcentral's name for it is "partial contains 5.8S ribosomal RNA, internal transcribed spacer 2, and large subunit ribosomal RNA". The stretch from base 1 to 105 matches the Rfam family "5.8S ribosomal RNA", at positions 50 to 154 of the family's 154-position model. The record is from RNAcentral.